This 815-nucleotide ribosomal RNA is filed under the name uncultured marine bacterium. RNAcentral describes it as "bacterial SSU rRNA". It matches the Rfam family "Bacterial small subunit ribosomal RNA", at positions 80 to 932 of the family's 1533-position model. The record is from RNAcentral.
CAGUAGCAAUACUGAGUGGCAAACGGGUGAGUAUAAUGUGGGAAUCUGCCUUUUGGUUCGGAAUAACACGGGGAAACUUGUGCUAAUACCGAAUAAGCCCUUACGGGGAAAGUUUUAACGCCGAAAGAUGAGCCCGCACUUGAUUAGCUAGUUGGUAAGGUAAAAGCUUACCAAGGCAACGAUCAAUAGCUGUUCUUAGAGGAAGACCAGCCACAUUGGGACUGAGACACGGCCCAGACUCCUACGGGAGGCAGCAGUGGGGAAUCUUGCACAAUGGGGGAAACCCUGAUGCAGCGAUGCCGCGUGAGUGAAGAAGGCCUUUGGGUUGUAAAACUCUUUCGUCGGGGAAGAAAAUGACUGUACCCGAAUAAGAAGGUCCGGCUAACUUCGUGCCAGCAGCCGCGGUAAUACGAAGGGACCUAGCGUAGUUCGGAAUUACUGGGCUUAAAGAGCUCGUAGGUGGUUAAAAAAGUUGAUGGUGAAAUCCCAAGGCUCAACCUUGGAACUGCCAUCAAAACUUUUUAGCUAGAGUGUGAUAGAGGUAAGUGGAAUUUCUAGUGUAGAGGUGAAAUUCGUAGAUAUUAGAAAGAACACCAAAUGCGAAGGCAACUUACUGGGUCACUACUGACACUGAGGAGCGAAAGCAUGGGUAGCGAAGAGGAUUAGAUACCCUCGUAGUCCAUGCCGUAAACGAUGUGUGCUAGACGUUGGAAAUAUAUUUUUCAGUGUCGCAGCGAAAGCAUUAAGCACACCGCCUGGGGAGUACGACCGCAAGGUUAAAACUCAAAUGAAUUGACGGGGACCCGCACAAGCAG